CGGACGGGUGAGUAAUGCUUGGGAAUCUAGCUUAUGAGGGGGAUAACUACGGGAAACUGUAGCUAAUACCGCGUAAUAUCGAAAGAUUAAAGUGUGGGACCUUCGGGCCACAUGCCAUAAGAUGAGCCCAAGUGGGAUUAGGUAGUUGGUGAGGUAAAGGCUCACCAAGCCGACGAUCUCUAGCUGGUCUGAGAGGAUGACCAGCCACACUGGGACUGAGACACGGCCCAG
RNAcentral lists this ribosomal RNA (231 nucleotides) under uncultured bacterium. Its description in RNAcentral is "partial 16S ribosomal RNA". It matches the Rfam family "Bacterial small subunit ribosomal RNA", at positions 99 to 334 of the family's 1533-position model. The record is from RNAcentral.